RNAcentral lists this ribosomal RNA (461 nucleotides) under uncultured bacterium. RNAcentral describes it as "partial 16S ribosomal RNA". It matches the Rfam family "Bacterial small subunit ribosomal RNA", at positions 338 to 795 of the family's 1533-position model. The record is from RNAcentral.
CCUACGGGAGGCAGCAGUGAGGAAUAUUGGUCAAUGGACGAGAGUCUGAACCAGCCAAGUAGCGUGAAGGAUGACUGCCCUAUGGGUUGUAAACUUCUUUUAUAUGGGAAUAAAAUGUUCCACGUGUGGGAUUUUGUAUGUACCAUAUGAAUAAGGAUCGGCUAACUCCGUGCCAGCAGCUGCGGUAAUACGGAGGAUCCGGGCGUUAUCCGGAUUUAUUGGGUUUAAAGGGAGCGUAGGUGGAUUGUUAAGUCAGUUGUGAAAGUUUGCGGCUCAACCGUAAAAUUGCAGUUGAAACUGGCAGUCUUGAGUACAGUAGAGGUGGGCGGAAUUCGUGGUGUAGCGGUGAAAUGCUUAGAUAUCACGAAGAACUCCGAUUGCGAAGGCAGUUCACUGGACUGCAACUGACACUGAGGCUCGAAAGUGUGGGUAUCAAACAGGAUUAGAUACCCGAGGUAGUC